AACGAACGCUGGCGGCAUGCCUAACACAUGCAAGUCGAACGGGAUCCUAGCUUGCUAGGUGAGAGUGGCGGACGGGUGAGUAACACGUGGGAAUCUGCCUUUUGGUUCGGGAUAACCGCGGGAAACUGCGGCUAAUACCGAAUGCCCUCGAGAGAGGAAAGGUUUAUCGCCAGAAGAGGAGCCCGCGUCCGAUUAGGUAGUUGGUGGGGUAAAGGCCUACCAAGCCGACGAUCGGUAGCUGGUCUGAGAGGAUGAUCAGCCACACUGGGACUGAGAUACGGCCCAGACUCCUACGGGAGGCAGCAGUGGGGAAUAUUGGACAAUGGGGCGAACCCUGAUCCAGCAAUGCCGCGUGAGUGAUGAAGGCCUUAGGGUUGUAAAGCUCUUUGUCCAGGGAAGAUGAUGACUGUACCUGGAGAAUAAGCCCCGGCUAACUUCGUGCCAGCAGCCGCGGUAAU
RNAcentral lists this ribosomal RNA (458 nucleotides) under uncultured bacterium. RNAcentral describes it as "bacterial SSU rRNA". It matches the Rfam family "Bacterial small subunit ribosomal RNA", at positions 29 to 524 of the family's 1533-position model. The record is from RNAcentral.